Molecule: small nucleolar RNA, 86 nt
Organism: Ziziphus jujuba (common jujube)
Lineage: Eukaryota; Viridiplantae; Streptophyta; Magnoliopsida; Rosales; Rhamnaceae
Product: small nucleolar RNA U31b
Exons: 1
Source: RefSeq, a predicted model, not a curated record
AGAUGUGAUGAUAGCUUCUGACGCCCAGUUUUACUUGCAUGGUUGAUGUAAUAUGGUGUAUUUCAAUGAUAAUGAUUAUCUGAUCU